This 468-nucleotide ribosomal RNA is filed under the name uncultured bacterium. RNAcentral describes it as "partial 16S ribosomal RNA". It matches the Rfam family "Bacterial small subunit ribosomal RNA", at positions 28 to 507 of the family's 1533-position model. The record is from RNAcentral.
GACGAACGCUGGCGGCGUGCUUAACACAUGCAAGUCGAACGGAAAGGCCCUGCUUUUGUGGGGUGCUCGAGUGGCGAACGGGUGAGUAACACGUGAGUAACCUGCCCUUGACUUUGGGAUAACUUCAGGAAACUGGGGCUCAUACCGGAUAGGAGCUCCUGCUGCAUGGUGGGGGUUGGAAAGUUUCGGCGGUUGGGGAUGGACUCGCGGCUUAUCAGCUUGUUGGUGGGGUAGUGGCUUACCAAGGCUUUGACGGCUAGCCGGCCUGAGAGGGUGACCGGCCACAUUGGGACUGAGAGACGGCGCAGUCGCCUACGGGCGGCAGCAGUGGGGAAUAUUGCACAGUGGGCGGAAGCCUGAGGCAGCAACGCCGCGUGCGGGAUGACGGCCUUCGGGUUGUAAACCGCUUUCGCCUGUGACGAAGCGUGAGUGACGGUAAUGGGUAAAGAAGCACCGGCUAACUACGUG